RNAcentral lists this ribosomal RNA (788 nucleotides) under Synechococcus sp. KUAC 3040. RNAcentral's name for it is "bacterial SSU rRNA". It matches the Rfam family "Bacterial small subunit ribosomal RNA", at positions 216 to 1006 of the family's 1533-position model. The record is from RNAcentral. Lineage: Bacteria; Bacillati; Cyanobacteriota; Cyanophyceae; Synechococcales; Synechococcaceae.
CGCCUGAGGAUGAGCCCGCGGUCCUGAUUAGCUAGUUGGUGAGGUAAGAAGCUCCACCAAGGCAUCGAUCAGUAGCUGGUCUGAGAGGAUGACUCAGCCACACCUGGGACUGAGACACGGACCCAGACUCCUACGGGAGGCAGCAGUGGGGAAUUUUCCGCAAUGGGCGAAAGCCUGACGGAGCAACGCCGCGUGAGGGAUGAAGGCCUCUGGGCUGUAAACCUCUUUUUCUCAAGGAAGAAGAUCUGACGGUACUUGAGGAAUAAGCCACGGCUAAUUCCGUGCCAGCAGCCGCGGUAAUACGGGAGUGGCAAGCGUUAUCCGGAAUUAUUGGGCGUAAAGCGUCCGCAGGCGGCCCUUCAAGUCUGCUGUUAAAACGUGGAGCUUAACUCCAUCAUGGCAGUGGAAACUGUUGGGCUCGAGUGUGGUAGGGGCAGAGGGAAUUCCCGGUGUAGCGGUGAAAUGCGUAGAUAUCGGGAAGAACACCAGUGGCGAAGGCGCUCUGCUGGGCCAUAACUGACGCUCAUGGACGAAAAGCCAGGGGAGCGAAAGGGAUUAGAUACCCCUGUAGUCCUGGCCGUAAACGAUGAACACUAGGUGUCGGGGGAAUCGACCCCCUCGGUGUCGUAGCCAACGCGUUAAGUGUUCCGCCUGGGGAGUACGCACGCAAGUGUGAAACUCAAAGGAAUUGACGGGGGGCCCGCACAAGCGGUGGAGUAUGUGGUUUAAUUCGAUGCAACGCGAAGAACCUUACCAGGGUUUGGACAUCCUUGCGAACUUCUUGGAAA